RNAcentral lists this ribosomal RNA (403 nucleotides) under bacterium. RNAcentral's name for it is "partial 16S ribosomal RNA". It matches the Rfam family "Bacterial small subunit ribosomal RNA", at positions 355 to 776 of the family's 1533-position model. The record is from RNAcentral.
UGGGGAAUAUUGCACAAUGGAGGGAACUCUGAUGCAGCGACGCCGCGUGAACGAAGAAGGCUUUCGAGUCGUAAAGUUCUCUUAUAUGGGAAGAUAAUGACGGUACCAUAAGAAAAAGCCCCGGCUAACUACGUGCCAGCGGCCGCGGUAAUACGUAGGGGGCUAGCGUUGUCCGGAAUCACUGGGCGUAAAGGGUUCGCAGGCGGAAAUGCAAGUCAGGUGUAAAAGGCAGUAGCUUAACUACUGUAAGCAUUUGAAACUGCAUAUCUUGAGAAGAGUAGAGGUAAGUGGAAUUUUUAGUGUAGCGGUGAAAUGCGUAGAUAUUAAAAAGAAUACCGGUGGCGAAGGCGACUUACUGGGCUCAUUCUGACGCUGAGGAACGAAAGCGUGGGUAGCAAACAGG